GACAACAUCCCUAAUGCGCCUUGAAAUGAGGAACUCAAAAGUCACGUGUAAAGAAAAAAUCUCUGUGUAGUGAUAUUGGACAUGUUUCUAUUUUUAACAAAUGACUGAACUUAAUUAUUUGUGGUGAUUAGGAAAGUAGAGGAACAUAGAAUAAAUGUGUAAAAACUAUGGAGCUAUUGAAUGUGUUCAAAGUAUUAAAUUUUCAAAGAACUUAUUGUGUUAAAAAGGGGAUAUUUUACCACAAGGAGCCGCAUCACAAAAGGAUGUUCGGGGUUUGCUAAUUUACGGAAAAAGUAAUCUCACUUCGUACCCCGAAAAUUUAACCACAUAUGUGAAAAUGUCACAGCUUCGAAACGAGCUAUCAUACAUAUCCAAGUUUACGAUAUGGACUGAGCUACAGGAAAAAACGUUACCAUUAUCGCCUAUGGGAAAACAAUUAAAGAUAUUGAGCCAAUUUACAAAAAGAUAAAUCAGAAGUUUCCAGAGUGAUCUAUGGAUGAUUUCACCUUGUACACCUGGGAAAAUUGUGAAAAUGAUGUUCCAGACAUAUCAUUACUUUUUAACCUGAGAUGACAAACUAGAGGUUUUACAAGGUCCUGAAUAACUGAAAUGGACAAAAAUACACAGAUUUAUUCAGAAUGUCAUACCGAUGAAGAUCACAUAAAAAUAUUUGGAAAAAUCAGAACUAUGGAUUGCAAUAUGGGACAACAUCCCUAAUGCGCCUUGAAAUGAGGAACUCAAAAGUCACGUGUAAAGAAAAAAUCUCUGUGUAGUGAUAUUGGACAUGUUUCUAUUUUUAACAAAUGACUGAACUUAAUUAUUUGUGGUGAUUAGGAAAGUAGAGGAACAUAGAAUAAAUGUGUAAAAACUAUGGAGCUAUUGAAUGUGUUCAAAGUAUUAAAUUUUCAAAGAACUUAUUGUGUUAAAAAGGGGAUAUUUUACCACAAGGAGCCGCAUCACAAAAGGAUGUUCGGGGUUUGCUAAUUUACGGAAAAAGUAAUCUCACUUCGUACCCCGAAAAUUUAACCACAUAUGUGAAAAUGUCACAGCUUCGAAACGAGCUAUCAUACAUAUCCAAGUUUACGAUAUGGACUGAGCUACAGGAAAAAACGUUACCAUUAUCGCCUAUGGGAAAACAAUUAAAGAUAUUGAGCCAAUUUACAAAAAGAUAAAUCAGAAGUUUCCAGAGUGAUCUAUGGAUGAUUUCACCUUGUACACCUGGGAAAAUUGUGAAAAUGAUGUUCCAGACAUAUCAUUACUUUUUAACCUGAGAUGACAAACUAGAGGUUUUACAAGGUCCUGAAUAACUGAAAUGGACAAAAAUACACAGAUUUAUUCAGAAUGUCAUACCGAUGAAGAUCACAUAAAAAUAUUUGGAAAAAUCAGAACUAUGGAUUGCAAUAUGGGACAACAUCCCUAAUGCGCCUUGAAAUGAGGAACUCAAAAGUCACGUGUAAAGAAAAAAUCUCUGUGUAGUGAUAUUGGACAUGUUUCUAUUUUUAACAAAUGACUGAACUUAAUUAUUUGUGGUGAUUAGGAAAGUAGAGGAACAUAGAAUAAAUGUGUAAAAACUAUGGAGCUAUUGAAUGUGUUCAAAGUAUUAAAUUUUCAAAGAACUUAUUGUGUUAAAAAGGGGAUAUUUUACCACAAGGAGCCGCAUCACAAAAGGAUGUUCGGGGUUUGCUAAUUUACGGAAAAAGUAAUCUCACUUCGUACCCCGAAAAUUUAACCACAUAUGUGAAAAUGUCACAGCUUCGAAACGAGCUAUCAUACAUAUCCAAGUUUACGAUAUGGACUGAGCUACAGGAAAAAACGUUACCAUUAUCGCCUAUGGGAAAACAAUUAAAGAUAUUGAGCCAAUUUACAAAAAGAUAAAUCAGAAGUUUCCAGAGUGAUCUAUGGAUGAUUUCACCUUGUACACCUGGGAAAAUUGUGAAAAUGAUGUUCCAGACAUAUCAUUACUUUUUAACCUGAGAUGACAAACUAGAGGUUUUACAAGGUCCUGAAUAACUGAAAUGGACAAAAAUACACAGAUUUAUUCAGAAUGUCAUACCGAUGAAGAUCACAUAAAAAUAUUUGGAAAAAUCAGAACUAUGGAUUGCAAUAUGGGACAACAUCCCUAAUGCGCCUUGAAAUGAGGAACUCAAAAGUCACGUGUAAAGAAAAAAUCUCUGUGUAGUGAUAUUGGACAUGUUUCUAUUUUUAACAAAUGACUGAACUUAAUUAUUUGUGGUGAUUAGGAAAGUAGAGGAACAUAGAAUAAAUGUGUAAAAACUAUGGAGCUAUUGAAUGUGUUCAAAGUAUUAAAUUUUCAAAGAACUUAUUGUGUUAAAAAGGGGAUAUUUUACCACAAGGAGCCGCAUCACAAAAGGAUGUUCGGGGUUUGCUAAUUUACGGAAAAAGUAAUCUCACUUCGUACCCCGAAAAUUUAACCACAUAUGUGAAAAUGUCACAGCUUCGAAACGAGCUAUCAUACAUAUCCAAGUUUACGAUAUGGACUGAGCUACAGGAAAAAACGUUACCAUUAUCGCCUAUGGGAAAACAAUUAAAGAUAUUGAGCCAAUUUACAAAAAGAUAAAUCAGAAGUUUCCAGAGUGAUCUAUGGAUGAUUUCACCUUGUACACCUGGGAAAAUUGUGAAAAUGAUGUUCCAGACAUAUCAUUACUUUUUAACCUGAGAUGACAAACUAGAGGUUUUACAAGGUCCUGAAUAACUGAAAUGGACAAAAAUACACAGAUUUAUUCAGAAUGUCAUACCGAUGAAGAUCACAUAAAAAUAUUUGGAAAAAUCAGAACUAUGGAUUGCAAUAUGGGACAACAUCCCUAAUGCGCCUUGAAAUGAGGAACUCAAAAGUCACGUGUAAAGAAAAAAUCUCUGUGUAGUGAUAUUGGACAUGUUUCUAUUUUUAACAAAUGACUGAACUUAAUUAUUUGUGGUGAUUAGGAAAGUAGAGGAACAUAGAAUAAAUGUGUAAAAACUAUGGAGCUAUUGAAUGUGUUCAAAGUAUUAAAUUUUCAAAGAACUUAUUGUGUUAAAAAGGGGAUAUUUUACCACAAGGAGCCGCAUCACAAAAGGAUGUUCGGGGUUUGCUAAUUUACGGAAAAAGUAAUCUCACUUCGUACCCCGAAAAUUUAACCACAUAUGUGAAAAUGUCACAGCUUCGAAACGAGCUAUCAUACAUAUCCAAGUUUACGAUAUGGACUGAGCUACAGGAAAAAACGUUACCAUUAUCGCCUAUGGGAAAACAAUUAAAGAUAUUGAGCCAAUUUACAAAAAGAUAAAUCAGAAGUUUCCAGAGUGAUCUAUGGAUGAUUUCACCUUGUACACCUGGGAAAAUUGUGAAAAUGAUGUUCCAGACAUAUCAUUACUUUUUAACCUGAGAUGACAAACUAGAGGUUUUACAAGGUCCUGAAUAACUGAAAUGGACAAAAAUACACAGAUUUAUUCAGAAUGUCAUACCGAUGAAGAUCACAUAAAAAUAUUUGGAAAAAUCAGAACUAUGGAUUGCAAUAUGGGACAACAUCCCUAAUGCGCCUUGAAAUGAGGAACUCAAAAGUCACGUGUAAAGAAAAAAUCUCUGUGUAGUGAUAUUGGACAUGUUUCUAUUUUUAACAAAUGACUGAACUUAAUUAUUUGUGGUGAUUAGGAAAGUAGAGGAACAUAGAAUAAAUGUGUAAAAACUAUGGAGCUAUUGAAUGUGUUCAAAGUAUUAAAUUUUCAAAGAACUUAUUGUGUUAAAAAGGGGAUAUUUUACCACAAGGAGCCGCAUCACAAAAGGAUGUUCGGGGUUUGCUAAUUUACGGAAAAAGUAAUCUCACUUCGUACCCCGAAAAUUUAACCACAUAUGUGAAAAUGUCACAGCUUCGAAACGAGCUAUCAUACAUAUCCAAGUUUACGAUAUGGACUGAGCUACAGGAAAAAACGUUACCAUUAUCGCCUAUGGGAAAACAAUUAAAGAUAUUGAGCCAAUUUACAAAAAGAUAAAUCAGAAGUUUCCAGAGUGAUCUAUGGAUGAUUUCACCUUGUACACCUGGGAAAAUUGUGAAAAUGAUGUUCCAGACAUAUCAUUACUUUUUAACCUGAGAUGACAAACUAGAGGUUUUACAAGGUCCUGAAUAACUGGUAAGCAUUUUGUUUUAUUUGGCAAGCUCUAAAUUGUUUAUUUAUG
Mytilus trossulus (common blue mussel) is the source of this 4168-nucleotide long non-coding RNA. RefSeq lists it as uncharacterized. The transcript is spliced from 12 exons. The record is from RefSeq and is a predicted model, not a curated record. Lineage: Eukaryota; Metazoa; Mollusca; Bivalvia; Mytilida; Mytilidae.